UACGAAGGGGGCUAGCGUUGUUCGGAAUUACUGGGCGUAAAGAGCGCGUAGGCGGCUUACCAAGUUGGGGGUGAAAUCCCGGAGCUCAACUCCGGAACUGCCUUCAAAACUGGUAGGCUCGAGUCCGGAAGAGGGGCGUGGAAUUCCCAGUGUAGAGGUGAAAUUCGUAGAUAUUGGGAAGAACACCGGUGGCGAAGGCGGCGCCCUGGUCCGGUACUGACGCUGAGGCGCGAUAGCGUUGGCAGCAAACAGG
Molecule: ribosomal RNA, 253 nt
Filed under: uncultured bacterium
Lineage: Bacteria
Description: partial 16S ribosomal RNA
Rfam family: Bacterial small subunit ribosomal RNA
Source: RNAcentral